RNAcentral lists this ribosomal RNA (392 nucleotides) under uncultured Methanosaeta sp. RNAcentral describes it as "bacterial SSU rRNA". It matches the Rfam family "Archaeal small subunit ribosomal RNA", at positions 948 to 1338 of the family's 1478-position model. The record is from RNAcentral. Lineage: Archaea; Methanobacteriati; Methanobacteriota; Methanomicrobia; Methanotrichales; Methanotrichaceae.
UGAAGGUCAGGCUGAAGACCUUACCCGAUUAGCUGAGAGGUGGUGCAUGGCCGUCGUCAGUUCGUACUGUGAAGCAUCCUGUUAAGUCAGGCAACGAGCGAGACCCACGUCCACAGUUGCCAGCAUACCCCUCCGGGGUGAUGGGUACACUGUGGAGACCGCCGCUGCUAAAGCGGAGGAAGGAGUGGGCAACGGUAAGUCAGUAUGCCCCGAAUCUCCCGGGCUACACGCGGGCUACAAUGGUUGGUACAAUGGGCAUCUACCCCGAAAGGGGAAGGAAAUCUCUUAAAGCCAAUCGUAGUUCGGAUUGAGGGCUGCAACUCGCCCUCAUGAAGCUGGAAUCCGUAGUAAUCGCGUUUCAACAGAACGCGGUGAAUACGUCCCUGCUCCUU